UUUGUCUGGAAGCUCAUCCAUGGGGCUACGAGCAGAGUGCAUCAUGUCACUCCUACUUCUGUCCCCUUGGAAGGUCUGAGAUUAGGGCCCCAUAAGUAGCCCUAAUGGGGCUUUCCCUGACCUUGGGGAGGUGAGUUCCUAGAGAGCAGAACUCUGCACAAGGGCAGACUAAGCAGGAGAUGCUGGUGCCCCCCAGGACAGCCAUUUUAAUCUAAACAUUCAUUAGCCUACAAGAGUUGUGUGACAAUUUUCUUUAAUGAA
RNAcentral lists this long non-coding RNA (261 nucleotides) under Jaculus jaculus (lesser Egyptian jerboa). Its description in RNAcentral is "Nuclear RNase P (ENSJJAG00000007055.1)". It matches the Rfam family "Nuclear RNase P", at positions 1 to 209 of the family's 301-position model. From Rfam's summary of the family: Ribonuclease P (RNase P) is a ubiquitous endoribonuclease, found in archaea, bacteria and eukarya as well as chloroplasts and mitochondria. Its best characterised activity is the generation of mature 5'-ends of tRNAs by cleaving the 5'-leader elements of precursor-tRNAs. Cellular RNase Ps are ribonucleoproteins. The record is from RNAcentral. Lineage: Eukaryota; Metazoa; Chordata; Mammalia; Rodentia; Dipodidae.